Molecule: ribosomal RNA, 253 nt
Filed under: uncultured bacterium
Lineage: Bacteria
Description: partial 16S ribosomal RNA
Rfam family: Bacterial small subunit ribosomal RNA
Source: RNAcentral
UACCGAGGUCUCAAGCGUUGUUCGGAUUCAUUGGGCGUAAAGGGUGCGUUGGCGGCGCGGUCAGUCGGGUGGGAAAUCUCGGGGCUUAACUCCGAAACUGCAUUCGAUACUGCCGUGCUUGAGGACUGGAGAGGAGACUGGAAUUUACGGUGUAGCGGUGAAAUGCGUAGAUAUCGUAAGGAAGACCAGUGGCGAAGGCGGGUCUCUGGACAGUUCCUGACGCUGAGGCACGAAGGCCAGGGGAGCAAACGGG